This 563-nucleotide long non-coding RNA is filed under the name Ricinus communis (castor bean). Its description in RNAcentral is "long non-coding RNA (RCOM_LNC003669)". The record is from RNAcentral. Lineage: Eukaryota; Viridiplantae; Streptophyta; Magnoliopsida; Malpighiales; Euphorbiaceae.
UUGAAGUAAUCUUCCGCUUACAAAACAAAGAAGUUCGCGAUAGAAGAUGAAAAACAAAAGCAGUAUAAGAUCAAGUAUAUCUACAGAAGUGAGCAUGAUAAAGUUUCUUAGUGUAUGAAAAGAAAGAAAAAGUAGGUAUAAAAGAAAAUUACAAUAAUUAAAAAAAAAAAAACCUCUUUUAGCUAUGAGCUUAAAGACUCCAUCUCAGAAGAAUUCUCUGGCAUUAGUAGUUCUAGUACUCCUCGUUUAUGAUGAAGAAGAUGAUGAUUCAAGAGGCUCAGGUCCCAACCGAAGCUCAAGGUCCAGUUCUAAUCGGGUCGAUUCACGAAUCAAUUGCCGCGGCUUCUUAUCCUCUUCUCCAUCAACACGAUUAAUUAUCUUUGUCUCCUCUUUGUUAGUAUGAGUAGUUCUAGCAUCAUCCCUUGUAGAUAAAGUAUAUGGUGUCUUAGGGAUACAGCUUCCUUCUUCACUAUAUUCUAAUGGAAGAUUUUUAUAUUCAGAAACCUGAUGAUUAUGAGGAUCAUCAGCUGGAUUCAUCGAGUUUAAAGAAAGCAAGUUUUCAU